CUACGGGGGGCAGCAGUUGAGAAUUUUUUGCAAUGCGCGCAAGCGUGACAAAGUGAGCCAGAGUGCUUUUCAACAUGAAAAGCUUUUGCCAAGUGUAAAAAGCUUGGCGAAUAAGGACUGGGUAAGACGAGUGCCAGCCGCCGCGGUAAUACUCGCGGUCCAAGUCGCAGCCAUUUUUAUUGGGUCUAAAACAUCCGUAGCUUGCUUAAAAAGUUCUUUGUGAAAUCUUAUUGCUUAAAAAUGAGACGUGCAAGGAAUACUCUUAAGCUAGAGACUGGAAGACGUAAGAAGUAUGUUCGGAGUAUCGGUAAAAUGAGUUAAUCCCGGGCGGACUCACAAUAGCGAAGGCAUCUUACGAGGACAGUUCUGACAGUAAGGGAUGAAGGCUAGGGGCGCAAAACGGAUUAGAUACCCCCGUAGUC
This 422-nucleotide ribosomal RNA is filed under the name uncultured archaeon. Its description in RNAcentral is "partial 16S ribosomal RNA". It matches the Rfam family "Archaeal small subunit ribosomal RNA", at positions 323 to 746 of the family's 1478-position model. The record is from RNAcentral.